ACUUGUCCAGCUCCUGUCUUCAUUGUCCUCGCGCUGAGAGUUAAAGACACAGAAGCUGUUUGUGUGAGGAGUCACAGACCUGUGUGAGGAUGAGGAGGAGGUGUUCUUCUGAAGAGAGGGACAGACGGUUUAAGGAGAGUAAACUUCAGAAUAACAUCAAGUUAUCUUUAUUUUUACUAAGACUAAAAUAAUGUGUGUGUUUUUUUUAGAUGUUGAAAUCCAGAGACAAGAUAACUUCAUUCUUUUUAGACUGAUGUAAGUUAAAUUAUUAUUACUUUUUUUUUUUUUUGAAAAUUAAUGUUUCUGUUGUGUCCUGCCUGUUAACUUCACAUUUUGAUGCAAAAACAGUGUGAUUUUAUAUAUAUAUGUAUGUAUAUGUUAAUAUUUUAUUGAAACCAUUGAUGCCCCUCUUUGCAGAACUCAAACUAACUGCAGUUAAGGACACACAAGUCUGCUUGUGUGAGGAGGUGGUUUUCUCAGCUUCUUCUGAAGAGAGGGAAAUAUCGUUUAAGAUGUUAAAAGCAAGAGACAUGGGAGAUCAUCAUUCCCUUGAGAUUUUAUAA
RNAcentral lists this long non-coding RNA (563 nucleotides) under Carassius auratus (goldfish). RNAcentral describes it as "lncRNA (ENSCARG00000051476.1)". The record is from RNAcentral. Lineage: Eukaryota; Metazoa; Chordata; Actinopteri; Cypriniformes; Cyprinidae.